UUUAAAUAGCUGCAGUAUAUUAACUGUACAAAGGUAGCAUAAUAAUUAGUCUUUUAAUUGAGGUCUAGAAUGAACGGUUUAACAAAGUAAAAACUUUCUUAUUUUAAAUAUUUUGAAUUUAAUUUUUUGGUUAAAAAGCCAAAAUUUUUAAAUGGGACGAUAAGACCCUAUAGAUCUUAAAUUUUUUUUUAAUUAAGUAAAUUGGUUUAAAAAAUGUUUAAUUUUUAAAAAAAUUUUUGUUGGGGUGACAUUAAAAUUUUUAAAUCUUUUAAUUAUUUUUACAUUUAUAAAUGUAUAUUUGAUCUUAACUUUUAGAUUAAAAAAUUAAGAUACCUUAGGGAUAACAGCGUAAUAAAUUUGAAUAGUUCAUAUUGAUAAAUUUGUUUACGACCUCGAUGUUGAAUUAAUUAAAAAUUUUAGAGCAGGCACUUAAAAUUUAGGUCUGUUCGACCUUUAAUUUUUUACA
Molecule: ribosomal RNA, 466 nt
Filed under: Purohita sinica
Lineage: Eukaryota; Metazoa; Arthropoda; Insecta; Hemiptera; Delphacidae
Description: partial 16S ribosomal RNA
Source: RNAcentral